CGGCACCGGAAGACAAUCACCCGUAGAAGGAGAGAUCAACGGAGAGGGUGUAUCUUCAAGCCUUGCCUAGUUUUCGGGCCUUUCAUCAGUGCCAAUUUAAAUUUCCCAGCUUUCCAGUGGCCAGGUUAUCGGAAAAAAACUUGAGACCGGAAUUGCCCGUCUGCUCAGCCAAACAGGGUGAGAGGAUUCUAUGACAACUGGUACAGUAUUUCUUAAUACUUGCUGGGCAUGGUGGCGCACGCCUGUAAUCCCAGCACUAGGGAGGCGGAGGCAGGAGGACUGCCGCGAGUUGGAGGCUAGCCUGGGCUACAUAGUGAAUUCAGAGCCAGACUGAACUACAAAGCGAGACCCUGCCUCAAAAAAAAAAAAAAAAAAAAAUCUCAAGGCUUUUCCAGAUAACAGAACCAGCCAGAGAUACACUAUUGAUCACUGUUGAGGUCUUCACCAACAGAACACUUCUAAGGUUUAUCUGCCUUCCAUCGCUCCUACGACCAGUUUAUUCUUUAUCAAGAAGACAAUCCUGGGCCGGGGAUUUAGCUCCGUGGUUUCGCUGCCUGCUGCGCAAGCUCAAGGACCAGAGUUCGAUCCCCGGUACCAAAAAAAGGAAGACGACAAUCCAGUGUCCUCGGAGACAAGGAGUUAAUCAUGACCUCGCAAAAUUAUGUAAUUUUGGUUUUCGUUCUUAAAACUCUGUAUACCCUAACCAUGGCUCAGAUACUAUUGUCCCAAAAGGGCAAAACCUGGGACAGUUUCUUAAAUUCAAGUAGCUAGUUUGGAGAGAAGAGGUUUAUUGGGAAGAGGGAGCAUAAGACUUGUUGAAUUAUUUGCCUCACUUUCAGUUGUUUUAUUACAUCUUCCCAAAAUGACAAAAUUUGUCAUAAAAAUAAAUUCUACCCUUUGAUUUAGUAAUCUCAGUCCCAGAAAUUUAUCCUAAAGACAUAAUCUAAAAGAAAAAGUGCUAACACCUCAACUGACAACAGUGCCUAUUUGGAAUAUUGGAAAAACGUAGAAACUCCCCAGUCUGAUCUAUCAAAAUUCAACAGAUUAUGAACCGAACAGGAUUAUUACUUUAAAAACUUACUUGCAAGAAAAAAAUGUCACAUAAAGUUAAAUGAAAAAAAAGCAGACUCCAAAUUGGAUGUUAGAAAUUCAGUAAUGUGAAAAUAUAUGACUAAGCAAAGAUGAAGAAGUAAUUUACUGUUACAAUGAGAU
Molecule: long non-coding RNA, 1212 nt
Filed under: Heterocephalus glaber (naked mole-rat)
Lineage: Eukaryota; Metazoa; Chordata; Mammalia; Rodentia; Bathyergidae
Description: lncRNA (ENSHGLG00000047223.1)
Source: RNAcentral